AUGUGGUAUGCUCCUAUAAUACCACGGUUGAAACGUCUGUUCAGGAACAAAGAGCAUGCCAAGUUGUUGCGAUGGCACAAAGAGGACCGUAAGUCGGACGGGGAGUUGAGACACACCGCAGAUGGAACGCAAUGGAGAAAGAUCGACAGAUGGUUCAAAGAUUUUGCAGCUGACGCAAGGAACAUAAGAUUUGCUCUAAGUACGGAUAGCAUGAAUCCUUUUGGCGAGCAGAGCUCCAGCCAUAGCACCUGGCCCGUGACUCUAUGCAUCUACAACCUUCCUCCUUGGUUGUGCAUGAAGCGGAAGUUCAUUAUGAUGCCAGUGCUCAUCCAAGGUCCGAAGCAACCCGGCAACGACAUCGAUGUGUACCUAAGGCCAUUAGUUGAUGAACUUUUACAGCUGUGGGGUGGUGUCCGUGUGUGGGAUGAGCACAAACAAGAGGAAUUUGACCUACGAGCGUUGCUUUUCGUAACCAUCAACGAUUGGCCUGCUCUUAGUAACCUUUCGGGACUGUCAAAUAAGGGAUACAAUGCAUGA
Molecule: ribosomal RNA, 537 nt
Filed under: Triticum aestivum (bread wheat)
Lineage: Eukaryota; Viridiplantae; Streptophyta; Magnoliopsida; Poales; Poaceae
Description: partial small subunit ribosomal RNA
Source: RNAcentral